RNAcentral lists this ribosomal RNA (135 nucleotides) under uncultured Alphaproteobacteria bacterium. RNAcentral's name for it is "partial 16S ribosomal RNA". It matches the Rfam family "Bacterial small subunit ribosomal RNA", at positions 355 to 507 of the family's 1533-position model. Lineage: Bacteria; Pseudomonadati; Pseudomonadota; Alphaproteobacteria. The record is from RNAcentral.
UGGGGAAUCUUAGACAAUGGGCGCAAGCCUGAUCUAGCCAUGCCGCGUGAGUGAUGAAGGCCCUAGGGUCGUAAAGCUCUUUCGCCAGGGAUGAUAAUGACAGUACCUGGUAAAGAAACCCCGGCUAACUCCGUG